UAAAUCCAUAUCCGGACAGGUGGCCUUUAGCAAUAAAGGCUGAAAAGGGAAACCGGUGCGAAUCCGGUGCGAUCGCGUCACUGUGAGGGGAAGCCCCCCUGCAAGGUGCCACUGUCCGACACUUGAUAUCCCGCGGAGGGCCGGAGCCGGCUCAAGAAGGCAUCCGCUCCCGACUGCAGAAGGGGAUAUUGGGUGCUGGAUGGGAAGGCGCAGGGUGGGAAUGCACCCGAGCCAGGAAACCUGCCUGUACCGGGGACACCGA
Molecule: non-coding RNA, 262 nt
Filed under: Thermacetogenium phaeum
Lineage: Bacteria; Bacillati; Bacillota; Clostridia; Thermoanaerobacterales; Thermoanaerobacteraceae
Also listed under: 1 other name
Source: RNAcentral